GUCUUGUUGUGUAUAGUCUUAGUUGUCUUUAAAGUACUUGCAAUUUCUUCCUUUUUCGUUUCUUUCUUUUUUUAUAAAUGUACGUUCUUGGGUCUGACGUUAUAUAGUACAUUGCUGAAAAGAUUAAACAUUGCAUGUGUAAGGAUCGAUGAUAUUGCGUUUUUGUCAUUAUUAAACAAUUUAAUUUCAUCUGUGUCAUAAUACUGGCAUAACUUACAUCAGGAGUCUUGUGGAGUCUCAGUUGUACGAUAUUGUUUUUCUUCUUUUUUUCUAUUAUUUUUUCCUUUUUUGUAAA
Non-coding RNA from Paramuricea clavata, 295 nucleotides. Lineage: Eukaryota; Metazoa; Cnidaria; Anthozoa; Malacalcyonacea; Plexauridae. The record is from the annotation of a GenBank genome assembly.